CUGAGCGGAAUCCAGAGUACAUCGAGACACGAGAAACCUUGAUGGAAAGAGCGGGGACCACCCCGUAAGCCUAAAUACUACUUAGUGACCGAUAGCGCAUAGUACUGUGAAGGAAAGGUGAAAAGGACCCCGGGAGGGGAGUGAAAGAGAACCUGAAACCCUGUGUUUACAAGCUGUGGAAGUUCUUUAAAUGAACAACCGCGUACUUUUUGUAGAACGGUCCGGCGAGUUGCGGAUACUGGCAAGGUUAAGCACUUAAGGUGCGGAGCCGAAGGGAUACCAAGUCUUAACAGGGCGUUAAGUCAGUAUACGCAGACCCGAAACCGGGUGAUCUAUCCAUGUCCAGGUUGAAGUUGUCGUAAAAGACAAUGGAGGACCGAAGCCACAUCCGUUGAAAAGGGUGGGCAUGAGGUGUGGAUAGGGGAGAAAUUCCAAUCGAACCCGGAGAUAGCUGGUUCUCCUCGAAAUAGCUUUAGGGCUAGCCUCGAUUUAGUCUUAUGGAGGUAGAGCACUGAAUUUCCGCGGGGGCGUCAAAGCUUACCAAAGAAUAUCAAACUCCGAAUGCCAUGUAGAUGAUGAUCGGGAGUCAGACUGCACGAGAUAAGUUGGGCAGUCAAAAGGGAAAGAGCCCAGACCACCGGCUAAGGUCCCAAAGUGCGUGUUAAGUGGAAAAGGAUGUGGGAAUUCGAAGACAACUAGGAUGUUGGCUCAGAAGCAGCCAUACAUUCAAAGAGUGCGUAACAGCUCACUAGUCGAGAGUUCCUGCGCCGAAAAUGUCCGGGGCUGAAACACGACACCGAAGCCGUGGACUCGCAAUGCGAGUGGUAGAGGAGCAUUCUUAAAACCGACGAAGCUGUACCGAAAGGAGCAGUGGAGGGAUAAGAAGAGAGAAUGCCGGAAUGAGUAGCGAGAGAAAGGUGGGAAUCCUUUCGGCCGAAUAUCUAAGGUUUCCAGAGUAAAGCUGAUCUGCUCUGGGUAAGUCGGGGCCUAAGCACAGGUCGCAAGACGUAAGCGAUGGAUAACAGGUUUAGAUUCCUGUACCACGCAUUAUCAGAACUGUAGGGACGCAUGUGGAAAGCACGAGCCGGGAAUGGAAAGACCGGUACAAGCGGGGUAGGUGUACAAUAGGCAAAUCCGUUGUAUAAUCCGAAGACGUGAUGUGGAGCGAAAUAAAGUAGUGAAGCGUGUGAGCCAUGUGCCGAGAAAAGCUGCUAUUGUGUAAUGCGUGCCCGUACCGUAAACCGACACAGGUGGAUGAGGAGAGAAUCCUAAGGCCGACGGAAGAAGCAUUGUUAAGGAAUUCGGCAAAAUGACCCCGUAACUUCGGGAGAAGGGGUGCCUGCGAGAGCAGGCCGCAGAGAAUAGGCUCAAGCAACUGUUUAGCAAAAACACAGGUCUAUGCGAAACCGAAAGGUGAAGUAUAUGGGCUGACGCCUGCCCGGUGCUGGAAGGUUAAGAGGAGAGGUUAGCUUCGGCGAAGCUUUGAAUUUAAGCCCCAGUAAACGGCGGCCGUAACUAUAACGGUCCUAAGGUAGCGAAAUUCCUUGUCGGGUAAGUUCCGACCCGCACGAAAGGCGUAAUGAUUUGAGCACUGUCUCGACAAUGCAUCCGGUGAAAUUGAAGUACCAGUGAAGAUGCUGGUUACCCGCGCCAGGACGGAAAGACCCCAUGGAGCUUUACUCCAGUUUGAUACUGGGAUUCGGUACUGCAUGUACAGGAUAGGUGGGAGACGAAGAAGGAUGGACGCCAGUCUGUCCGGAGUCGCUGUUGGGAUACCACCCCUGUAGUACUGGGUUUCUAACCAGUUGCCAUGAACUGGCAAUGGGACAAUGUCAGGCGGGGAGUUUGACUGGGGCGGUCGCCUCCGAAAGGGUAUCGGAGGCGCUCAAAGGUUCCCUCAGAAUGGUUGGAAACCAUUUGAAGAGUGCAAAGGCAGAAGGGAGCUUGACUGCGACACCGACGGGUGGAGCAGGUACGAAAGUAGGACUUAGUGAUCCGGUGGUAUAAAGUGGGAUUGCCAUCGCUCAACGGAUAAAAGCUACCCUGGGGAUAACAGGCUUAUCACUCCCAAGAGUUCACAUCGACGGAGUGGUUUGGCACCUCGAUGUCGGCUCAUCGCAUCCUGGGGCUGUAGCAGGUCCCAAGGGUUGGGCUGUUCGCCCAUUAAAGCGGUACGCGAGCUGGGUUCAGAACGUCGUGAGACAGUUCGGUCCCUAUCCGGCGCGGGCGGAGGAUAUUUGAGAGGAGCUGUCCUUAGUACGAGAGGACCGGGAUGGACGGACCACUGGUGUAUCUGUUGUCGACCAACGGCAUGGCAGAGUAGCCAAGUCUGGAAGGGAUAAACGCUGAAGGCAUCUAAGCGUGAAGCCCCCCUCAAGAUGAGAUAUCCCUCCUUCGGGAGUAAGACCCCUUGAAGACUACAAGGUAGAUAGGGCAGAGGUGGAAGCAUGGCAACAUGUGGAGCUGACUGUUACUAAUAGGUCGA
RNAcentral lists this ribosomal RNA (2485 nucleotides) under Agathobacter rectalis. Its description in RNAcentral is "partial 23S ribosomal RNA". It matches the Rfam family "Bacterial large subunit ribosomal RNA", at positions 396 to 2912 of the family's 2925-position model. Lineage: Bacteria; Bacillati; Bacillota; Clostridia; Lachnospirales; Lachnospiraceae. The record is from RNAcentral.